Molecule: long non-coding RNA, 2591 nt
Organism: Sabethes cyaneus
Lineage: Eukaryota; Metazoa; Arthropoda; Insecta; Diptera; Culicidae
Exons: 3
Source: RefSeq, a predicted model, not a curated record
CGCGUUGGAGCACAGUUGUUGGUUCGGCAGGUACCUGUUACAGUACCUCUUACGAUGUGUGAGGGUUCGAUACUGUGCCGUUGCCGAGUAUGUGCGAUGUGGUUUGAAGGUAGAGACAAGAAAUGAAACGGUGAGAAAAAAAACAUUCAAGGUGGCCACUCGAAUUAGUCGCUAAACGAUACUCACCGCGAACGGUUCUGACUCCGGUUUACAGCAGCGAAGAGUUUAAUUUGUUUGUCAGUUAGUACCUAAAAAGUGUCACGUUGGAUACGGGAGAAUCUUAACUUGUUUGAGCUUGUUUUAGUUCAAGCUGCGCUUGAUUUUAGCGCAAGUGAAUCAGUUAAAUCAGUUAAGUGAUUAACGUACACAGGCGGAGCGAAGUAGAAACGAAGCAGAACUGAUACUUACUUCUGAUAAACGAGACCGGAGAUCCCAGGACGUGGAGACGCAACACUUCGUAUACGGGCUGAUUGCUUAUCACAAACCGCGAUAACGAUUGCGGCGUAGCGUUGUUUCGAAAGUGUGGAAGAAAGAUAUCAUUGAAAAGGAUGCGAGAAUACGUGGAGGAGAACGAAAAGAAUGACCCGCUGAUCCACGCACCUGACAAGAAGAACAACCCAUGGGCAGAGAAGGGCAAAUGUGUCAUCAUAUAAAGAAACAAAAAUUGCCCCCAUCCUGCACAGUGGUAUCCGAUUUUAUACACGACAUCAUUGCAAAACUAUCAGCCACAAUCAAAGGCAACUUGCGGAAAUAGUAUGGAGCAUGAUCCUGGAGAAGAUUUCUGAUACGAGGAUGGCGGUGGCGAUCGGAAAAAUAUGUGAUUUUCAUAUUCCAUUUGAUUUUAGUUUUAGCAGAAACGUUGGUUUUGUUUCAAAGUGAUCCGGCUAGCAGGACGUGGAGACCGAAAACAAGCCGCGCAAGUUAACAGAAAAAAUAUGAAUGUGAAUCUUGUUUAAGCUCCAAUGCUUUAGAGGUUAUGGCGAUCUACUCAAUUUGAAUUUGUACGCGAACGCAUACACUGCCUUCAAUGGAGAAAAAGAAGUUAGAUGGCAUGGACAUUCCGGAUCGAGAAUUGAACGAUUGGCUGUAACACGUUUAAGCUCCCAACAGCUCUCCCGUUGUGAAAAUCCUUCCUCGCUUUAUCUUUUGAGAUUAAGAUUAAAUUAAAUAAGGCCAACCUUAGCAUAGCAAAAGAAUAAGUUUCUUUCCAUUGUUUUCCAAAAUCGAAACUGUGCAAACCGAUCGUGUUCCAAAUGCUUUUUUGUGUGUGUACGCAUUCCAAAAUCGAAUCAACAGUAUUUCGAAACCAAAUAAGAUUUACAAAGCUUUCAGUUAGCAACGGAUGCAAUAGAAUCCACCUUUUGUUAGAAUCCUUCUAGUCCUUAGGUAAUUUUUCACGAACAGUUUAUAUAAAACAAUGAAUGUAUCCUUAUUUAGCACACACCAUUUAUACUACUGGUAAGAUAGCUAAUUGCUAAAACAAACAAUCAUGUGACCAAAUAUAAUUACGCUAAGGAAGGCAAAAAUCAGAUAAAUUACUUAAAAAAUGUUGCACAGAAAAUAAUAUAUUCGUAGCAUUCACUCAUCUCUAAAGCUCAUCUAUAAGCUAACAUUUUUAUUCUGCAAGCGUUCGUAUUAAAAAACGAAAAAAAAAAUUGCUAAUCGGACUUUGAUUCAUAGAAACGAAAUCGAAAAAAUAGUAAAUGAGAACUAAUAACGGUAAAGUAUCAUAAAUGAGGAUAUAAUUUGAAGCUCUAAAUUUUUCGUUUGUACGCAAGACAUUGAACACAAGUCACCGCUAACAAAUGGUUCGUGUCACAGCUGGAAGUCUAUUUAUCCUUGAGAAAGUUUCUGACCUGAUGUUUGUAGAAUACGUUAGGCGAACUUGCACAAUUUCACGUAUUAAAAUAGAAAAAUGACUACUUCACACCGAAAAAUUAAUAGUCCUUCUUCUUAUGACAAUUUUUAUGUUCAUCAAAUAGUCACGCUUCAGUUGAAGAGCUUCAACUUAGAUCCCAGACAUUGCGACGACGGAUUAUUAUCAAAAGCUUAAAUUUCAAUAGUUUGGUUGUUGUUUCAUUACUGACUUGAAAAAAUCAUAAAAGUGUUCAUAUUAGAGUAUGUACAAGCUGCGUUGAAUGUUUCUUACCCUUGUGGUAAGCAAGGACAAAACAAUGAGAAAAAAUAAAAUCAAGUGAUUAAAAAAUACAUUUUCCAGCAUCAUUAAACUAAACUUUGGAUGAGAACAUAUUCUCAAAAACAGAAAACAAAUACUUAACAGAUAAAAAAUACGCGAGAUGUAAGCUCUCGAAAAAAUCCGAUACUGCCGCGUUUCAAUUGGCAAAAAGUACUUAAAUAAAAUUACAGAAAGAUAAAAUAAAGAGUUGACGAAUGUGUCGGCUAGUUUUCAACGAAUCGAAAGAAAGUGUCACAUUUUGCAGCGGUUGAUAUUGACAUGUUUUUGGUGGUCGAAAUCGGAACGCAAUGGUACCGACGUACAACAGAGAGACAAAAAAACACAAAAACGAACAAAUCAUUAACAAUUUACAUUACAGUGAUGAAUGAAGAUAGUAAUAAAAAUUACUGAAACU